Triticum aestivum (bread wheat) is the source of this 1666-nucleotide long non-coding RNA. RefSeq lists it as uncharacterized. The record is from RefSeq and is a predicted model, not a curated record. The transcript is spliced from 3 exons. NCBI's taxonomy places the organism in Eukaryota, Viridiplantae, Streptophyta, Magnoliopsida, Poales, Poaceae.
GACCCAAAUCUCUCAAAUUGUAAUGGUACAGGUUUAGAUCUAACCUAGCAACCUCUGUUUCCUUCCAUGGUUUCUACUGUCCAAGACCUCCGAUCGAUGGUACUUGAUCGUUUUUCCCUCCUCCGGCUAGAGCAUGACCAAGGAACGACGCCUUCUAGUUUGAAGCCUACAUCGCUGGCUCUCCAUUUGAUCCACCCAUCACAAGUGGCACAGCUGAUCACGUAUAGUUAUCUACCGAUGCAUCUUGGCUCAUGCGAAAGAAAAUUGUUCAUCCACCAGACGGGGUUUAUUGCGAGUCCAAUACUGGCGGUGCCGAGUCCAAUACCGACUGCUCUAUUGCUUCUCAUCGCUGGCAUGUGUAUGGCACCAUGCCAGUAUGCAACAACAAUCCUGGUGUCCGUAUGAAUAACUCUUGGUAUAGGUAUAUGUUGAAUCUCCAGUCUGCACACGAUCUUUCUUGAUUAGGCAUAGCAUGCGUGCAUUGAAGAAAUAUUAAUAUAAUGUAAUAAAAGAAACAUGUGUAUAUAUACUGUUUGCAUCCGAGUUGAGGUGUUUUUGUCAUGUUUUAUUUUGCACGGUGGUCAUCGACCGGUUAUAGGUUGCUCCAGGCCUCGAAGGCCCGGCGGUACUGCUCCUCGACAUGGAGAGCUGAUGGUGCUGCUGCUCCUCGGCACGUUUGAGCGGUCUGCUAAUAGGAGGUGUGAGGCGAGCUGCAAGACUUCACGGCACCUUUGAGUGGUCUGCUAAUAGCAGGCAUGAGGCGAGCUGCAAGAUUUCAGGCACAUAAACAGCGCAAUGGCAAGAGCUAUAUAAUAUAACAUUGAUAUUCUAGACCCCGCAGGAGACAUUAUAUAUUUAAGUGGUGUACAUGUACUAUGUAUAACUACAAGAAGAUUACUAUAUUUGUGACUACACUAGAAAUUUAUAGUUGUUGCAGCACGUGGUUAGUUAACAAUAUCACGGUGGUGGUCAUCGACCAGUUAUAGGGUGCUCCAGUGCUCAAAGGCCAGGCGGUACUGUUCCUCGACAGGGAGAGCUGGUGGUGUUGCUGCUCCUCUGCACCUUGGAGCGGUCUGCUAAUAUGUGGCGUGAGUCGAGCUGCAAAACUUCAGGCACACAAACAGCACAACGGCAAGAGCUAUACAAUAUCACAUUGAUACGUAUGUAUUCUCCUUUUCGUAGGACCAUAAAUUUCUUCUGAUUGCUCAAUCUCUAGAUAUUUAUACGCUUGAUUCAUAUUUUUUCUUUUUUCAGAUAUUCUGCACCCCGCAGGAGACAUUAUAUAUUUAAGUGGUGUACAUCUACUAUAUAUACCUACAAGAAGAUUAUCUAUGUUUGCGACUCUACAAGUACUGAAAAAAAUUUGAACUAGAAAUUUAUAGGUCCUGCAGCACGUGGUUAGUUUUUUGUUUUCUACUUGCCAACACUACUUGAUGAAUUAGGAUAUUGACUAUUUACAAGGAACGAUCAGCCAGAUCAGUUAGCUUUAUCAUACUAUAUACUUGGAUCUGAUUUCUUUUUUCCAGAUUCUAUUCCUAAAUGGUUCAUGGGUACACGUCCCAUUUUCAGGUUUGUUUGCCAGAUUUGUUCUUCUCCUCAUAGUCUAUCCCCUGAAUAUUAUAAUCUAUUUUUUUAUCGGGUUUCUAAAUUGUAUGAUUGUUUUGCU